RNAcentral lists this unclassified non-coding RNA (223 nucleotides) under uncultured Mycobacteriaceae bacterium. RNAcentral's name for it is "contains 16S-23S intergenic spacer region". The record is from RNAcentral. Lineage: Bacteria; Bacillati; Actinomycetota; Actinomycetes; Mycobacteriales; Mycobacteriaceae.
UCCGAGUUGACCCCGGCAGUCUCUCACGAGUCCCCACCAUUACGUGCUGGCAACAUGAGACAAGGGUUGCGCUCGUUGCGGGACUUAACCCAACAUCUCACGACACGAGCUGACGACAGCCAUGCACCACCUGCACACAGACCACAAGGGAACCGACAUCUCUGCCGGCGUCCUGUGCAUGUCAAACCCAGGUAAGGUGGGGAUGACGUGACACGCAAUAACA